RNAcentral lists this long non-coding RNA (594 nucleotides) under Homo sapiens (human). Its description in RNAcentral is "HSALNT0054822". Lineage: Eukaryota; Metazoa; Chordata; Mammalia; Primates; Hominidae. The record is from RNAcentral.
GGACAAGUGUUGGACAGCCGGAGUCAGUCUCCAUGGAGAUUAUCUUUGAUAACAGAUUUCUUCUGGGGAAUAGCUGAGUUUGUGGUUUUGUUUUUCAAAACUCUGCUUCAGCAAGAUGUGAAAAAAAGAAGAAGCUAUGGAAACUCAUCUGAUUCCAGAUAUGAUGAUGGAAGAGGGCCACCAGGAAACCCUCCCCGAAGAAUGGGUAGAAUCAAUCAUCUGCGUGGCCCUAGUCCCCCUCCAAUGGCUGGUGGAUGAGGAAGGUAAAUGUCUGCUCUAAGAAGCAGACAACCGGACAUGCGCAUUCAUAGCAGAAGGAAACCAUCAAGAAGUGGAAGGCUGACCAUGAUGAGCAGUAGAUGAAUGUGUAUGUCUAAACAAGGACUGCUCUGUGUCCUCACAGAUGAAUGAGGUCAUGCUGGGAAUUCCCUCUGCAGGGAACUGGCCUGACUGACAUGCAGUUCCAUAAAUGCAGAUGUUUGUCUCAUUACCUUUUUGUAUAGUUUAUUAAAGUAUUAAUAUAGUUUUAAUAAGUAAAUAUUUUUAGGUUGCAGAAUGGACUCCUCAUCUUUAUAUUCACGAAAAAGCAAUCUG